AUCAACCAGAGUACAUGUCUGUUGCAAAGCAAGAAUGAUUUGAUUCCACACUAGCCAAUUAAUGUGAGAUAAGCAUUGUUUAAUACAAACUUCAAUGAAAAGAAAUAAUCAAAUAUCCUUUUAUUCAGU
Molecule: long non-coding RNA, 129 nt
Organism: Xenia sp. Carnegie-2017
Lineage: Eukaryota; Metazoa; Cnidaria; Anthozoa; Malacalcyonacea; Xeniidae
Exons: 3
Source: RefSeq, a predicted model, not a curated record